AGAGUUUGAUCAUGGCUCAGAGCGAACGUUAGCGGCGGGCCUAACACAUGCAAGUCGAGCGAGAAAAGGGCUUCGGCCCUGAGUAAAGCGGCGGACGGGUGAGUAACACGUAGGUAAUCUUCCCUUGAGCGGGGGACAACGAGCCGAAAGGCUCGCUAAUACCGCAUACGUUUCCAGAGGCCCCGGUCUUUGGAAGGAAAGCUAGGCCGCAAGGUCCGGCACUCGAGGAGGAGCCUGCGUCGCAUCAGCUAGUUGGUGGGGUAACGGCCUACCAAGGCGAAGACGCGUAGCUGGUCUGAGAGGAUGAUCAGCCACACUGGGACUGAGACACGGCCCAGACUCCUACGGGAGGCAGCAGUGGGGAAUAUUGGACAAUGGGCGCAAGCCUGAUCCAGCCACGCCGCGUGAGUGAUGAAGGCCUUCGGGUCGUAAAGCUCUGUGGGGAGGGACGAACCGCUGCACGUUCAUAGCGUGCAGCAUGACGGUACCUCCUUAGCAAGCACCGGCUAACUUCGUGCCAGCAGCCGCGGUA
RNAcentral lists this ribosomal RNA (532 nucleotides) under uncultured Pseudomonadota bacterium. RNAcentral's name for it is "bacterial SSU rRNA". It matches the Rfam family "Bacterial small subunit ribosomal RNA", at positions 8 to 522 of the family's 1533-position model. The record is from RNAcentral. Lineage: Bacteria; Pseudomonadati; Pseudomonadota.